RNAcentral lists this transfer RNA (86 nucleotides) under Treponema sp. RNAcentral's name for it is "tRNA-Ser". It matches the Rfam family "tRNA". Rfam says of the family: Transfer RNA (tRNA) molecules are approximately 80 nucleotides in length. The record is from RNAcentral. Lineage: Bacteria; Pseudomonadati; Spirochaetota; Spirochaetia; Treponematales; Treponemataceae.
GGAGCGGUGUCCGAGUGGUUGAAGGAGACGGUCUCGAAAACCGUUGAACCUAUCGGGUUCCGGGGGUUCGAAUCCCCCCUGCUCCG